GGUAAGGCCCUUUCGGGGGUACACGAGUCGGCGAACGGGUGAGUAACACGUGGGUAACCUGCCUUUAGCUUCGGGAUAAGCCUGGGAAACUGGGUCUAAUACCGGAUAUGACCUUCCCUCGCAUGGGGGUUGGUGGAAAGUUUUUCGGCUAGAGAUGGACCCGCGGCCUAUCAGCUUGUUGGUGGGGUGAUGGCCUACCAAGGCGACGAGGGGUAGCCGGCCUGAGAGGGCGACCGGCCACACUGGGACUGAAAUACGGCCCAGACUCCUACGGCAGGCAGCAGUGGGGAAUAUUGCGCAAUGGGCGGAAGCCUGACGCAUCGACGCCGCGUGGGGGAUGACGGCCUUCGGGUUGUAAACCUCUUUCGACCGGGACGAACAAAAUUGACGGUACCGGUAUAAGAAACACCGGCCAACUCCGUGCCAGCAGCCGCGGUAGCACGUAGGGUGCGAGCGUUGUCCGGAAUUAUUGGGCGUAAAGAGCUCGUAUGCGGCGUGUCACGUCAGCCGUGAACACUUACAGCUUAACUGUGACCGUGCGGUCGAUACCGGCAUCACUUGACUUCGGCAGGGGAUACUGGAAUUGCUGGUGUAGCGGUGAAAUGCGCACAUAUCAGGAGGAACACCGGUCGCGAAGGCUGGUCUCUGCGGCGAUACUGACGCUCAUGAGCGAAAGCGUGCGGAGCGAACAGGAUUAGAUACCCUGGUACUCCACUCCGUAAACAGUGUGCGCUCAAUGUGGAGAUCAUUCAACGGUCUCUGUGCAGUACAUACGCAUUCACCGCCCGUCUGGAGAUACGGGCGGAUGCCUAAACGUCAAUGAACUGACGGCG
Molecule: ribosomal RNA, 833 nt
Filed under: uncultured Actinomycetes bacterium
Lineage: Bacteria; Bacillati; Actinomycetota; Actinomycetes
Description: bacterial SSU rRNA
Rfam family: Bacterial small subunit ribosomal RNA
Source: RNAcentral